CAGGUGUAGUUUAAUGGUAGAACUUCAGCCUUCCAAGCUGACUGUGAGGGUUCGAUUCCCUUCACCUG
Molecule: transfer RNA, 68 nt
Filed under: marine eukaryotic metagenome
Rfam family: tRNA
About the family: Transfer RNA (tRNA) molecules are approximately 80 nucleotides in length. Their secondary structure includes four short double-helical elements and three loops (D, anti-codon, and T loops). Further hydrogen bonds mediate the characteristic L-shaped molecular structure. tRNAs have two regions of fundamental functional importance: the anti-codon, which is responsible for specific mRNA codon recognition, and the 3' end, to which the tRNAs corresponding amino acid is attached (by aminoacyl-tRNA synthetases). tRNAs cope with the degeneracy of the genetic code in two manners: having more than one tRNA (with a specific anti-codon) for a particular amino acid; and 'wobble' base-pairing, i.e. permitting non-standard base-pairing at the 3rd anti-codon position.
Source: RNAcentral